UACGGAGGGUGCAAGCGUUAAUCGGAAUUACUGGGCGUAAAGCGUGCGUAGGCGGUUGCCUAAGUCAGAUGUGAAAGCCCCGGGCUUAACCUGGGAACUGCAUUUGAAACUGGGUGACUAGAGUUUGGUAGAGGAAGGUAGAAUUCCUAGUGUAGCGGUGAAAUGCGUAGAUAUUAGGAGGAAUACCAGUGGCGAAGGCGGCCUUCUGGACCAAAACUGACGCUGAGGUACGAAAGCGUGGGGAGCAAACAGG
Molecule: ribosomal RNA, 253 nt
Filed under: uncultured bacterium
Lineage: Bacteria
Description: partial 16S ribosomal RNA
Rfam family: Bacterial small subunit ribosomal RNA
Source: RNAcentral